Long non-coding RNA from Canis lupus familiaris (dog), 488 nucleotides. RefSeq lists it as uncharacterized. The transcript is spliced from 3 exons. Lineage: Eukaryota; Metazoa; Chordata; Mammalia; Carnivora; Canidae. The record is from RefSeq and is a predicted model, not a curated record.
AUCCGCUUCCUCAAUUCUGGAUGUCGGACAUUCCGGAUGCAAUGAGACCACUGGGUUAUUUUGGGAACCACUUUUAAUGGUCACUUGCCCUCCAUUUAAAGGAAAAGAGGCCUCAGCAAGGCUCCAUACCCAAUGUGAGACUUGAACCCACAACUCUGAGAUAGAGAAUCACAAGUGGCCCUGGCUGUGAUAUUUUCAAGUAUCUCCAAUUACAAAGACAUUAAAGAUCUUGUAAUCUCUGCGACCUCAAGAUCAAGAGUCAUAUGCCCUACCAACUAAGCCAGCCUCAAUAGUAAUUGCCUCAAUAAUAAUUGCCUUUAGAAAGACUUGCUGAAUGGGAAGAAAAACUUUCACUUUUUAUUGUGUACCUUUUUGUACUGCUUGAGUUUUCUGUCCAUGUAAAUGUACUACUUUAUUUUCUUCAGAAACAUCAACCUUGUAUUUCCUAGGUGAGAAACUUAUGGACAAGUUUUGCUUUCCUUCUUUGU